UACGUAGGGUGCGAGCGUUAAUCGGAAUAACUGGGCGUAAAGGGUGCGUAGGCGGAUGAAUAAGUUAGAUGUGAAAAGCCUGGGCUUAACCUUGGUCGUGCAUUUAAGACUGUUAAUCUAGAGUUUGUAAGAGGGGGGUAGAAUUCCAGGUGUAGCAGUGAAAUGCGUAGAGAUCUGGAGGAAUACCGAAGGCGAAGGCAGCCCCCUGGUAUAGAACUGACGCUGAGGCACGAAAGCGUGGGAAGCAAACAGG
RNAcentral lists this ribosomal RNA (253 nucleotides) under uncultured bacterium. RNAcentral describes it as "partial 16S ribosomal RNA". It matches the Rfam family "Bacterial small subunit ribosomal RNA", at positions 524 to 776 of the family's 1533-position model. The record is from RNAcentral.